CUCGUAGGUGGCCAACUAAGUCAGACGUGAAAUCCCUCGGCUUAACCGGGGAACUGCGUCUGAUACUGGAUGGCUUGAGUUUGGGAGAGGGACGCGGAAUUCCAGGUGUAGCGGUGAAAUGCGUAGAUAUCUGGAGGAACACCGGUGGCGAAGGCGGCGUCCUGGACCAACACUGACACUGAUGAGCGAAAGCCAGGGGGAGCAAAACGG
Molecule: ribosomal RNA, 210 nt
Filed under: uncultured bacterium
Lineage: Bacteria
Description: partial 16S ribosomal RNA
Rfam family: Bacterial small subunit ribosomal RNA
Source: RNAcentral